UACGUAGGGUGCGAGCGUUGUCCGGAAUUAUUGGGCGUAAAGAGCUCGUAGGCGGUUUGUCACGUCUGCUGUGAAAUCCCGAGGCUCAACCUCGGGCCUGCAGUGGGUACGGGCAGACUGGAGUGCGGUAGGGGAGAAUGGAAUUCCUGGUGUAGCGGUGGAAUGCGCAGAUAUCAGGAGGAACACCAAUGGCGAAGGCAGAUCUCUGGGCCGUAACUGACGCUGAGGAGCGAAAGCAUGGGGAGCGAACAGG
RNAcentral lists this ribosomal RNA (253 nucleotides) under uncultured bacterium. RNAcentral describes it as "partial 16S ribosomal RNA". It matches the Rfam family "Bacterial small subunit ribosomal RNA", at positions 524 to 776 of the family's 1533-position model. The record is from RNAcentral.